RNAcentral lists this ribosomal RNA (464 nucleotides) under uncultured bacterium. RNAcentral describes it as "partial 16S ribosomal RNA". It matches the Rfam family "Bacterial small subunit ribosomal RNA", at positions 339 to 795 of the family's 1533-position model. The record is from RNAcentral.
CUACGGGUUGCAGCAGUGAGGAAUUUUGCGCAAUGGGGGAAACCCUGACGCAGCAACGCCGCGUGAGCGAAGAAGGCCUUCGGGUCGUAAAGCUCUGUCAAGUGGGAAAAAAAUUCUUUGAUGAACAGUCAAAGGACUUGAUGGUACCACUGGAGGAAGCACCGGCUAACUCCGUGCCAGCAGCCGCGGUAAUACGGAGGGUGCAAGCGUUGUUCGGAAUUACUGGGCGUAAAGAGCGUGUAGGCGGUUUGACAAGUCAGAUGUGAAAGCCCCGGGCUCAACCCGGGAAGUGCAUUUGAAACUGUUUCACUCGAGUAUGGGAGAGGAGAGUGGAAUUCCUGGUGUAGAGGUGAAAUUCGUAGAUAUCAGGAGGAACACCCGUGGCGAAGGCGAUUCUCUGGACCAAUACUGACGCUGAGACGCGAAGGCGUGGGGAGCAAACAGGAUUAGAUACCCGAGUAGUC